CAGAGAGUAGUUUAAAAAAAAUUUUAAUUUUGGAGAUUAAAGAUAAAAUAAAUAGUUUUUUUCUCUGA
Molecule: transfer RNA, 68 nt
Filed under: Limbodessus compactus
Lineage: Eukaryota; Metazoa; Arthropoda; Insecta; Coleoptera; Dytiscidae
Description: tRNA-Pro
Source: RNAcentral